RNAcentral lists this ribosomal RNA (774 nucleotides) under uncultured Neocallimastigales. RNAcentral describes it as "partial large subunit ribosomal RNA". It matches the Rfam family "Eukaryotic large subunit ribosomal RNA", at positions 23 to 643 of the family's 3401-position model. Lineage: Eukaryota; Fungi; Neocallimastigomycota; Neocallimastigomycetes; Neocallimastigales. The record is from RNAcentral.
AGAGAGAGACAUGCGCGCAUAUCAAUAAGCGGAGGAAAAGAAACUAACUAGGAUUCCCUCAGUAACGGCGAGUGAAGCGGGAAGAGCUCAAAUUUGAAAUCUUCAAGGUUCUACCUUGACGAAUUGUAGUUUAAAGAAGUGUUUUCUGUUGGAGUUUUGGUAAAAGUUCUUUGGAAUAGGACAUCAUAGAGGGUGAGAAUCCCGUAUUUGACCAUUUACUUUCAGCUUUGUGAUACACUUUCAAAGAGUCGGAUUGUUUGGGAAUGCAGUCCAAAAUGGGUGGUAAAUUUCAUCUAAAGCUAAAUAUUGGCGAGAGACCGAUAGCGAACAAGUACCGUGAGGGAAAGAUGAAAAGAACUUUGAAAAGAGAGUUAAACAGUACGUGAAAUUGUCAAAAGGGAAGCGUUUGACACCAGUGUUGUUUUCUCGAAAAUCAAUUAAAAAAGGCAGGAUUUUGUGUUGUAUUGACUUUAUCAGCUUUCUGCACUCUUUUCUUGUCUUUCUAAUGCACUUUUCGUUUAACAAGUCAACAUCAAUUUCUUUUGUUGUAAAAGGGUCAUUGGAAGGUGGCUUUCUUUUCGGAGAAAGUGUUUAUAGCCUUUGGCCUCUGCAAUCGGAGAGAUUGAGGUCUGCAGCGUAGAUCCUUCGGGGUUAGAUACAUUUGUGCUAAGUUAUAGCCUUUCAUAGACAACUUGUUGACUAUGAUCAGUCAUGUAGCUUACUCGCUUAUGCUAUUUUACCUACGCUUAGGAUGUUGAUGUGAUACUGCGAGCA